This 426-nucleotide ribosomal RNA is filed under the name uncultured bacterium. RNAcentral's name for it is "partial 16S ribosomal RNA". It matches the Rfam family "Bacterial small subunit ribosomal RNA", at positions 354 to 796 of the family's 1533-position model. The record is from RNAcentral.
GUGAGGAAUUUUCCGCAAUGGGCGAAAGCCUGACGGAGCAAUGCCGCGUGAAGGAUGAAGGCCUAUGGGUUGUAAACUUCUUUUCUCAGAAAAGAAUUAUGACGGUAUCUGAGGAAUAAGCAUCGGCUAACUCUGCGCCAGCAGCCGCGGUAAGACAGAGGAUGCAAGCGUUAUCCGGAAUGAUUGGGCGUAAAGCGUCUGUAGGUUGUUUAAAAAGUAUUCUGUCAAAGAUUAGGGCUUAACCCUAGAUAGGCAGAAUAAACUUUUAAGCUAGAGUUUGGUAGAGGCAGAGGGAAUUCCCGGUGGAGCGGUGAAAUGCGUAGAUAUCGGGAGGAACACCAAAGGCGAAGGCACUCUGCUGGGCCAAUACUAACACUGAGAGACGAAAGCGAGGGGAGCAAAUGGGAUUAGAUACCCGGGUAGUCC